GACGAACGCUGGCGGCGUGCCUAAAACAUGCAAGUCGAACGGGGUCUUCGGACCCAGUGGCGAACGGCGGAGUAAUACAUAAGCAACGUGCCCUGAAGACUGGGAUAUACGAUGGAAACGUCGGGCAAUACCAGAUGUGGUUGGGAGGAGUCAUCUUCAUCCAAUUAAACGGAUUUAUUCGCUUCGGGAGCGGCUUGUGGCCUAUCAGCUAGUUGGUGAGGUAAAGGCUCACCAAGGCGACGACGGGUAGGGGGUCUGAGAGGAUGAUCCCCUCGAGUGGGACUGAGACACGGCCCACACACCUACGGGUGGCAGCAGUUGGGAAUCUUGCACAAUGGGGGAAACCCUGAUGCAGCGACGCCGCGUGGAGGAUGGAAAUACUUUUGUAUGUAAACUCCUGUAAGAAGGGAAAAUGUCCUGAUUUAUCAGGAUUGAUUGUACCUUCAGAGUAAGCCCCGGCUAACUACGUGCCAGCAGCCGCGGUAAU
RNAcentral lists this ribosomal RNA (487 nucleotides) under uncultured bacterium. RNAcentral describes it as "bacterial SSU rRNA". It matches the Rfam family "Bacterial small subunit ribosomal RNA", at positions 28 to 524 of the family's 1533-position model. The record is from RNAcentral.